RNAcentral lists this ribosomal RNA (484 nucleotides) under uncultured bacterium. Its description in RNAcentral is "partial 16S ribosomal RNA". It matches the Rfam family "Bacterial small subunit ribosomal RNA", at positions 30 to 507 of the family's 1533-position model. The record is from RNAcentral.
AUUGAACGCUGGCGGCAGGCCUAACACAUGCAAGUCGAGCGGAUGAAGGGAGCUUGCUCCUGGAUUCAGCGGCGGACGGGUGAGUAAUGCCUAGGAAUCUGCCUGGUAGUGGGGGAUAACGUCCGGAAACGGGCGCUAAUACCGCAUACGUCCUGAGGGAGAAAGUGGGGGAUCUUCGGACCUCACGCUAUCAGAUGACCCUAGGUCGGAUUAGCUAGUUGGUAGGGUAAAGGCCUACCAAGGCGACGAUCCGUAACUGGUCUGAGAGGAUGAUCAGUCACACUGGAACUGAGACACGGUCCAGACUCCUACGGGAGGCAGCAGUGGGGAAUAUUGGACAAUGGGCGAAAGCCUGAUCCAGCCAUGCCGCGUGUGUGAAGAAGGUCUUCGGAUUGUAAAGCACUUUAAGUUGGGAGGAAGAGCAGUAAGUUAAUACCUUGCUGUUUUGACGUUACCAACAGAAUAAGCACCGGCUAACUUCGUG